This is a non-coding RNA of Pelobates cultripes (western spadefoot toad), 239 nucleotides long. The record is from the annotation of a GenBank genome assembly. NCBI's taxonomy places the organism in Eukaryota, Metazoa, Chordata, Amphibia, Anura, Pelobatidae.
UUUUAACCCUUCUACCUCUGGGGGUUCGAAGAUUGGCACCUCUCUUACAACCGCAACUGUGAAAAAUGAGUUGUCGCCAAGUAAAGAAGACUGUGAUCCUCAAAUGGAAUACAAAGAGUCAGACUUGGUGCAACGUGACAAACCCGUGAUGGAUCAGGCCCAAGAAAAGGAUCUAAAAAAGGAUUUGUCAGUGGUCUGUAGUCACCACCUGCAGAACCACUCCUUUAUUGGGGGUGUCU